GGCGGCGGCGUAUCUUAGUGUUGUGCUAUACAUGCAGUCGAGCGGACAGAUGGGAGCUUGCUCCCUGAUGUUAGCGGCGGACGGGUGAGUAACACGUGGGUAACCUGCCUGUAAGACUGGGAUAACUCCGGGAAACCGGGGCUAAUACCGGAUGCUUGAUUGAACCGCAUGGUUCAAUUAUAAAAGGUGGCUUUUAGCUACCACUUACAGAUGGACCCGCGGCGCAUUAGCUAGUUGGUGAGGUAACGGCUCACCAAGGCGACGAUGCGUAGCCGACCUGAGAGGGUGAUCGGCCACACUGGGACUGAGACACGGCCCAGACUCCUACGGGAGGCAGCAGUAGGGAAUCUUCCGCAAUGGACGAAAGUCUGACGGAGCAACGCCGCGUGAGUGAUGAAGGUUUUCGGAUCGUAAAACUCUGUUGUUAGGGAAGAACAAGUACCGUUCGAAUAGGGCGGUACCUUGACGGUACCUAACCAGAAAGCCACGGCUAACUACGUGCCAGCAGCCGCGGUAAUACGUAGGUGGCAAGCGUUGUCCGGAAUUAUUGGGCGUAAAGCGCGCGCAGGCGGUUUCUUAAGUCUGAUGUGAAAGCCCCCGGCUCAACCGGGGAGGGUCAUUGGAAACUGGGGAACUUGAGUGCAGAAGAGGAGAGUGGAAUUCCACGUGUAGCGGUGAAAUGCGUAGAGAUGUGGAGGAACACCAGUGGCGAAGGCGACUCUCUGGUCUGUAACUGACGCUGAGGCGCGAAAGCGUGGGGAGCGAACAGGAUUAGAUACCCUGGUAGUCCACGCCGUAAACGAUGAGUGCUCAGUGUUAGAGGGUUUCCGCCCUCUAGUGCUGCAGCAAACGCAUUAUGCACUUCGCCUGGGGAGUACGGUCGCAGACUGAAACUCAACGG
RNAcentral lists this ribosomal RNA (901 nucleotides) under Bacillus sp. PBCC 16. RNAcentral describes it as "bacterial SSU rRNA". It matches the Rfam family "Bacterial small subunit ribosomal RNA", at positions 21 to 907 of the family's 1533-position model. The record is from RNAcentral. Lineage: Bacteria; Bacillati; Bacillota; Bacilli; Caryophanales; Bacillaceae.